GUUGGCUUGUUUUAACCAGUUUUCUACCUUCGGCUGAUUCUACCAGCAGACACUGAAAGGACUCUGAUAGUUCGAGUGAAAGUAGCAAUUCCUCCUUAAGGUCAGAGAUUGCAGCAUCUGAGGGCCUCUUCAAAAGAAGACGUAGUUGAUGAAGGCAUUCUGGAGCAGGACCAGAAAGACCACGACCAAGCAGCCUUGAGAUCUUAGGCAGCGUCUCCCUCAGACAUCCACCAACCACUGGAACACAUCUCCAAAGUUCUGCUGGGCCAGCUCAGCUUCCCCUCAGAAGAAGUUCCACCACAUGAAGGAGCCUUUUGAGAGGCAGCUGGCAUCGUGAUUGGACUGUACUUUGGUCUGUUCCAAUCCAGCUUCAGCUCCAGAGACGGCAGGCGGGACGAGUCAACGGAGGCCUGGUGGACGAAGGCAUGCAGCUGAGUACAAUCCAGAAAACAACAGAGGAGGAGUGCAGCAGCCCAGGGCCAGA
Molecule: long non-coding RNA, 484 nt
Organism: Amphiprion ocellaris (clown anemonefish)
Lineage: Eukaryota; Metazoa; Chordata; Actinopteri; Pomacentridae
Exons: 3
Source: RefSeq, a predicted model, not a curated record